Molecule: long non-coding RNA, 590 nt
Organism: Cryptomeria japonica (Japanese cedar)
Lineage: Eukaryota; Viridiplantae; Streptophyta; Pinopsida; Cupressales; Cupressaceae
Exons: 4
Source: RefSeq, a predicted model, not a curated record
GGCGGGAAGUGAAAAACAAGUAUAUGUUGAACAAUUUUUGAACAAACUAUUUGAUUGUAAUGUAGAGUUUCCAGCAAGUUUCUGAAUGGAUGCUACACUUUUUGUGCCAUUCAACUGGCCUUGACUAGUUCGUUGAACUCUGGAUCUACAUUAUUCAUUCUUCUAGCUUUUUCUCAAAAUGACCUUGUCCUCUUUCAGGAAAAUAAUAAGAAUGAACUUGAUAGGUUUGAACAAGAAAGAAACAAUGACUUCUUCAAUACGUUGAAAGGAUUUGUUUAUAAUCAAGAAGAGGCAUAAUUCUUGGAGAGAAAUUUGGAAAACCAUUCUGAUGGAGGAGCUGGAAUUCGAUUUGGUUUGCAAGGAUUGGGAUUCUCCAUCAUUUUGCUUGCUAAGUUUUCUUCAAGGUGUUUCUGUGGUUCGUGGCUCUUGCUCUAUCUCAUGUUGGAGAUUAUUGUUAUUUGGAGACCUAUGUGGUCAUUGUAUCAUGAUCUUUUGUAACCUUGUAAUUGGUUAAGUUGUAUCUUUAUAUGUAUAUUGAGAAGCCAUGUAUUGGAAGAGCAAUGUAAUCCUAAGAUUGGGAUGUUAUUUAU